Molecule: long non-coding RNA, 817 nt
Organism: Nematostella vectensis (starlet sea anemone)
Lineage: Eukaryota; Metazoa; Cnidaria; Anthozoa; Actiniaria; Edwardsiidae
Exons: 2
Source: RefSeq, a predicted model, not a curated record
CUUCGCAUGGCGUCCACGCCUCUUGAUCUCGACCCAGUGCCACCGGUUGUCAUUCAACAAGCCAUCGCCAGCACUCAAGACAAGUUCUCCUGGUUCAAAGGAAUCAUACUACAAGGUGCGUACGUUCGACGCUUGUGUACAGCAGUACUCCCUCUUUGGACGACGUCCGGAACCGGAAGCCAAUGAAGUUACGCAGAGGGGUCUUAGACCUCGUUUCCUUGGCAACGUUGUAACGAAUGUAACCCGAGCCGUUGAGCCAUACAGACGAAGACUCUGAAGUGCAAAAGGUAAAUUGAGAACUUGUGAGUCCAGAAAGAUCCCCCCCUCCCCUCUCAAACUCAACCCAACCCUAAAAUACAGACUCUGAAGAGCAAAAGGAAAUUGAAAACUUGUGAGUCCAGAAAGAUCCCCCCUCCCCUCUCAAACCCAACCCAACCCUAAAAUACAGACUCUGAAGAGCAAAAGGAAAUUGAAAACUUGUGAGUCCAGAAAGAUCCCCCCUCCCCUCUCAAACCCAACCCAACCCUAAAAUACAGACUCUGAAGAGUAAAAGGAAAUUGAAAACUUGUGAGUCCAAAAAGAUCCCCCCUCCCCUCUAAAACCCAACCCAACCCUAAAAUACAGACUCUGAAGAGCAAAAGGAAAUUGAAAACUUGUGAGUCCAGAAAGAUCCCCCCUCCCCUCUCAAACCCAACCCAACCCUAAAAUACCGACUCUGAAGAGCAAAAGGAAAUUGAAAACUUGUGAGUCCAGAAAGAUCCCCCCUCCCCUCUAAAACCCAACCCAACCCUAAAAUACAGACUCUGAAGAGCAAAAG